RNAcentral lists this ribosomal RNA (406 nucleotides) under uncultured bacterium. Its description in RNAcentral is "partial 16S ribosomal RNA". It matches the Rfam family "Bacterial small subunit ribosomal RNA", at positions 29 to 526 of the family's 1533-position model. The record is from RNAcentral.
AUUGAACGCUGGCGGCAGGCCUAACACAUGCAAGUCGAACGAGUGGCGGACGGGUGAGUAAUGUCUGGGAAACUGCCCGAUGGAGGGGGAUAACUACUGGAAACGGUAGCUAAUACCGCAUACCAUCGGAUUUGCCCAGAUGGGAUGAGCUAGUAGGUGGGGUAACGGCUCACCUAGGAGACGACCCCUAGCUGGCCUGAGAGGAUGACCGGCCACACGGGAACUGAGCACCGGUCCAGACCCCUACGGGAGGCAGCAGUGGGGAAUAUGGCACAAUGGGCGCAAGCCGGAUACAGCCAUGCCGCGUGUAUGAAGAAGGCCUUCGGGUUGUAAAGUACUUUCAGCGAGGAGGCGUUACUCGCAGAAGAAGCACCGGCUAACUCCGUGCCAGCAGCCGCGGUAAUAC